GGAAGCAUAGCUCAGUUGGUCAGAGCGCACGGUUCACAUCCGUGAGGUCGCAGGUUCGAGCCCUGCUGUUUCCA
This 74-nucleotide transfer RNA is filed under the name Clostridia bacterium. Its description in RNAcentral is "tRNA-Val". It matches the Rfam family "tRNA". Rfam says of the family: Transfer RNA (tRNA) molecules are approximately 80 nucleotides in length. Lineage: Bacteria; Bacillati; Bacillota; Clostridia. The record is from RNAcentral.